RNAcentral lists this small RNA (2464 nucleotides) under Pongo abelii (Sumatran orangutan). RNAcentral describes it as "processed transcript". The record is from RNAcentral. Lineage: Eukaryota; Metazoa; Chordata; Mammalia; Primates; Hominidae.
GAAAACUUUAUUCUCAAGAGAUUUCUCAUUCCGCAGAAAUAAGGAUCUGGCAUGUCAACACAAACAUAGGAAGUUGAUGCAGUCAAAGGGAAAUAACUGCUGCCCUGACUCUGCUGAGAGCCUCACAAGUCCCUGUGCACGCCAGCUUAUUUGCCAAAAAAGAUGUUGCUGGUCCAUUUGACAAAGAAGUCCAGAGCUGCUUGUGACUUCAGUCUGGCUCUGCAGAGCCCAGGUGCUCUCUCCACCUCCUGCCAGAUUCCCCUACGAAGGCUUUGCUCUCAGACUCUCCCCUUGUGGAGACAAAAAUCCCACAGCAAGUGGAAACAGAAGUGCCUUGGAAAAAGUUCUUCUGGCAGCUCCUAUACAGGUCACCCAUCAGAUGCUGGUAUUGGACCAGCUUUGGUUAUCAAGCCCUGCUGUGGCACAAAAAGGAAUGUUGUCCUGAUACAGCAGCCUCGGGUCACCCAAUCCACUCCAGAUACUAUGGCUGCAGCAUCAAUGUAAGCAGACAAGUUGUGCUGCCUCUGAAAUAAAGUAGAUGAAAUAUUCAGCAGCAGAAAGAACAAGUUUCCACUCCAGUGAACUAAUUCAAAUGUAUCCAGCAUCUAGAUAUAUGUAUAAAUGUAAUUAAAAUGUAUUGAGCAUCUAGAGCAUCUCUCCCAAGAUAAUUACCACCUGACAGUAAUGGCUAUAAAAGCUAAAAGUGGAAUCAGUCUACAUGUUUAGCAAUAGGAAUCAACUGAAGCAUACAUCAAAAUGCAGACAGUAGUAUUGUGAAUAACCCUAUACCUUCCAAUUUGAAAUCAGAAGCAAAAAAGGCUGCCAAAAUAUUAAGAGAAUUCACAGAAAUAACUUCCAGAAAUGGACCUGAUAAGAUCAUUCCUGCUCACGUAAUUGCAAAGGCUAAAGGCCUUGCAAUUCUGUCUGUGAUCAAAGCCGGGUUCCUGGUGACUGCCAGAGGAGGCAGCGGGAUUGUAGUGGCGCGCCUUCCAGAUGGAAAGUGGUCUGCACCCUCAGCCAUUGGGAUAGCUGGCCUUGGUGGGGGAUUUGAAAUAGGAAUUGAGACACAUUUACAGCUACAUAUUCCCUCUAGGCAUUGCCCUGGCUGCCUUCCAUAAGUGUGGGUAUCAGACUUGGUGAUAAUUCUGAAUUAUGACCGUGCUGUAGAAGCUUUUGCAAAAGGUGGAAAUCUAACCCUUGGAGGGAACUUGACUGUGGCGGUUGGGCCCUUGGGAAGGAACUUGGAAGGAAAUGUGGCCCUGAGAAACUCCGAUGCCGUCUUCACCUACUGCAAGUCGAGGGGACUCUUUGCAGGCGUGUCUUUAGAAGGGAGCUGUUUGAUUGAAAGGAAAGAAACUAAUAGAAAAUUUUAUUGUCAAGAUAUCCGAGCUUAUGACAUUUUAUUUGGAGAUACACCGCGGCCUGCUCAAGCCGAAGAUCUUUAUGAAAUUCUUGAUUCCUUUACUGAAAAGUAUGAAAAUGAAGGACAACGAAUCAAUGCAAGAAAAGCAGCAAGGGAGCAGAGGAAGUCUUCUGCUAAAGAAUUACCUGCAAAGCCAUUGUCAAGACCACUGCAGUCAUCUGCACCAGUCCAGCUGAACUCUGGCUCUCAAAGCAAUUUGAAUCAACCCAUAGAAGUGACAGCGCUGUAUUCCUUUGAAGGACAGCAGCCUGGGGAUUUGAAUUUUCAAGCUGGAGACAGAAUCACAGUUAUAUCAAAAACAGAUUCACAUUUUGAUUGGUGGGAAGGAAAACUUCGAGGUCAAACUGGCAUUUUUCCAGCCAACUACGUAACCAUGAAUUAAAGCAUAUACUAUUUUCUUCUUUGAGAAUUACAAAAAAAUUAUUUCUACACUGACAGGAUUUACUAGUUAAGCAAUGUUUAAUAUAAAUUUUUAAAAACUUCUGUUCUACAAAAUUUCCAUUCAGUAUGUAAAAGAUUUUGUUUUUCUAUAUAGAAAGAGCUGACUGACAUAUCUUUAAAUACUUUGUACUAACUUUAUCACACUUGCUGUGUCAUAGAAUAUCAUACAAUUUAUGUGCUCAUAGUUCUUUUGUGAACACUUUCGAACAUCGCUAAGCAUUUGAUCUGGCCAUGUAUAUGGUAGCUAUAUUUUAAUUUGAGAAUCUUGAGGGUAGAGCCAUGAAUUUCAGUUCUUACAUUUCCAUUUGCAAAGUGACUAGAGAAAAAGAAAUCAGCUUAAAUGAGGUAUUAAGUAAUGUUUAGAGUUGUAGGUAUUAACUAGAAUAUAAAUCCUUAGAAAUCAUCUUUGUACCUUCAAAAAUUGUACUAUGCAUUUAUCAUAGAAAUAUGAUUACAAAGAAGUCUGACUACCAUGUCUUUAAACAUAUGGCAUCUCUCAACUUUUCUUCCUUAUGGGGCUACAUUUGUUCAUUUCCAGCAGUAGCAUAAACUUACGGUGACAUGGUAGACUUUUCUCUAAAUAAAAUUUUUAAAUAUUUA